CACGUAGGGGUGCGAGCGUUGUCCGGAAUUAUUGGGCGUAAAGAGCUCGUAGGCGGUGUGUCGCGUCGGCCGUGAAAACCUGGGGCUUAACUCUGGGCUUGCGGUCGAUACGGGCAUCACUGGAGUUCGGCAGGGGAGACUGGAAUUCCUGGUGUAGCGGUGAAAUGCGCAGAUAUCAGGAGGAACACCGGUGGCGAAGGCGGGUCUCUGGGCCGAUACUGACGCUGAGGAGCGAAAGCGUGGGGAGCGAACAGG
This 255-nucleotide ribosomal RNA is filed under the name uncultured bacterium. Its description in RNAcentral is "partial 16S ribosomal RNA". It matches the Rfam family "Bacterial small subunit ribosomal RNA", at positions 524 to 776 of the family's 1533-position model. The record is from RNAcentral.